UCCGUAGGUGGAUCAAUCAGUCAGAGGUGAAAUCCUGCAGCUUAACUGUAGAACUGCCUUUGAUACUGUUGAUCUUGAGUCAUUAUGAAGUGGUUAGAAUGUGUAGUGUAGCGGUGAAAUGCAUAGAUAUUACACAGAAUACCGAUUGCGAAGGCAGAUCACUAAUAAUGUACUGACACUGAGGGGCGAAAGCGUGGGGAGCGAACAGGAUUAGAUACCCUGGUAGUCC
This 229-nucleotide ribosomal RNA is filed under the name uncultured bacterium. RNAcentral's name for it is "partial 16S ribosomal RNA". It matches the Rfam family "Bacterial small subunit ribosomal RNA", at positions 568 to 796 of the family's 1533-position model. The record is from RNAcentral.